GUUCUUAAUGUAAUUUUGUUAUAGAGAGCUGUUUGUGUUAGUAACCGGAAAAAAAAUGACGUUCACACCCAGAGGUUGGUUUAUCCACCGUACGCAUGCGCACUAAGAGAACAUUGACGUGUCACAUUGAAUACAAACCCCAAGAUUAUUUAGUUUAUUUCAAUCAGAACUUCAGUAUUAUUAUCUUUUUAUAUACAAUCAUUAAAUGUACUCUUUUAUACAUAGAAGGAAAAUUCGCUUAUAAUCUUACGUCCAUCGUUUACCGGGAUUUACAUCAAAGUGUUGGGGGGUUCUCAGAAAGGGUGACACGUACGGCCCAGAGUUGUGACGUAGUAGCUUUCCCCACCAGCUGGCCAACACAUGUAUUGAUUACUGGUACGGUGACACCUGCUCCCGGCGACCUGUGUGUGUGUGUGAGUAUGCCGCAGGUUGAAGAGGAAUGGAGGCGCGCAGCCAAGUCACUUCAAGGAUCGUGAAAUUUCCCACACUGUAUCUGGGCCGUAGACGGAAAACAUGUCGAGAUAACCAAGUCCUCUGGAUCUGGACCAUACUAAUUUAACUAUAAACACACAUUUAGUGCAGUUUUAAUGGCAGGUGUUAAUGAAUUUAUGAUGGUAGAAGCAGGAACAAAUGGUAGGGUAUCAAACGGAGGCGUUUUCGACAACACCAAAUUCUGUAAACAGCUGAAGGAGAAAACAUUAUAUAUCCCUUUACAAAGAAGAGGACAUAUACAGUUACAGGGUAUCAUGAGCCCGUCGUGUUGUGGAAAACGCCUUCUGAAUAUUGGCAUCUUGGUUUCGGAUUCUUGUGAGUACUAUCAACCUCUGUCCAGCAAGUGUCAACAACAGUCAUGGCACGUCAGAGAAAUGUCGCCCUAUAUUUGGAAGAUGUAAUUGACAAAUACUAGGCAAAUUAGAGAAGGAAGUUGGAGGAAAUAAGGGAUACUUAUUGUAACUAUUUCAAUAAUGUCGGGUCACUGGCCUGGUAGGAAACUAAAAUUCGGGGGCAUAAUUGAGUUGCAGGAGUAAUAUUAAAUGUUCUAAUAUAGAGCCAUAUUGCAAAAUGUACUGGAGUAAGGUGUUCAUUAAUACAAUUAGUACAUAAACUUACAAAGUUA
Long non-coding RNA from Homarus americanus (American lobster), 1117 nucleotides. RefSeq lists it as uncharacterized. The transcript has 2 exons. The record is from RefSeq and is a predicted model, not a curated record. NCBI's taxonomy places the organism in Eukaryota, Metazoa, Arthropoda, Malacostraca, Decapoda, Nephropidae.